AUAUUGCUUUUCCUGAGCAAUGAGGAGAGAAAAUGGUCCACAUUAAUAUUAUUUCAGCUCUUGAUUCCAGCUGUGUCUGAUGACCUAUCUCCAUGAUCUUUUGCACAUCACUAACCACCCCAUCAUCUUUAAAAAAAAAAAAAAGAACAAUUCUAAUUUGAGUUGGAGGUCUUUCUCUUACCUGACAUUGCCUUUUAGAUGUCUCAAGUCAUUUCAAAUUCAACAGGUUGAAUACUAAAACUCAUGAUCUUCUCUGCCAAACUGGCUCUUUCCUAGUGUUCCCUAUCUUACUGAUUGGUACCACCAUUCAACUGGUACAGUUGUGCCAGUCAGAAACCUAGGUGUCAUCCUAGAUCCACAUCUCUCUCACCUCCCACAUCUUCUGUCAUCAUAGCCUGUUCUGAAUACCUUCUAAAGAGUCCUUGACUGUCCUCCUCUCUCCACUUCCACUGCCACCAGUUGCAUCCACCUCUGGCCUGGAUCAUCUAAGUAGCCAAGUAAUUCAUCUCUCUGCUUUCAUUUCUUAUUUUUUCCAGUUUGUUCCCCAGAGUACAAAGUAAUCUUUUUGACACACAAAUUCAAGAUUCACUUCUAGCUUAACAUCCCACAGUGGCUUCCCAUUGCUCCUGGAAAAUUUGAAGUCCUCUAAUGUAGCCCUUGUGAUGCUGUAUGGUCCAUCCUACUUUCAGGGCCUGAUGUGCAUCAAGCUUUCUCCUACCAUGAGGUCUCAGAACAUGCAGUUUCCUCUACCUGCAAUACUCUUUUCUCCCCUUUUCACCCACUUGACUAAGACUGAGGCUCCUACUACAAAACUCAAAGGGGAAGAAGGUCAUUUCUCUCCCUGCAACCAGGAAGGCAUAUGAUCUUAGCCUGGACAAGAAAGAAAUCUUGAGGAAAUACUGCAAAAACACAGAGGGCUAAUGGAUUAUUAUUCUUGGCUGGGCAGAAUCAGCUGGGCAGUGUCAUGGUGGCAAGUAACCAGGGGUGGCGGUCAUGAGUCAGGUAUUAGCUCCUUUAGAAAGGAGUCUUGACUAUGUUUGGCCUCCCUUGGUUCCUAACUUAGUCUAACUCUCUAAUGUUUCUAUCAAUUCUAUGAGCUAUCUGAUACUCUUGAAGAUUAUUUUUCUGCUUAACUUGACCAGAGUCAGUUUCAUUUGUAUAACCAACAAUCCUGAUGAAUAGUACAGUGUGAUUCAUUUAUUAAUGGCUAUUUCAUCUCUAGGAGAGGAAGUUCUAUGGCUAUCUAGCUUAUCAUUGUAUUUGAAGAUGCUCUUCAGGUGCCUGGAAUAUAAGUAGUACUUAAUAAAUAAUUUUUAGAUGAGUAGAUAGAUUCCUCUUGACAUUUCAAUAGCACUUUGCACUGAUUUUUGUAUUGUAAUCUUGGUUUUGCCUUUAAGAGCAUAUACCUUGCCUUAGUCAUCUUUGGCUUUUGCCUAGUGACUGACACUCUGGCUGACUCAUAGUAGGUGCUCCAGGUCCUUAUGCAGAUUUAGCCACACAUUAAUUUGCUUUGUAAAGCUGGCUGCAGGUGCUUAUCUUAGCAUCAUGUACCAGAUUGACAUCUCCCCGACACACCUCCACCCCAAGCUUCUGAGGCUGGUCACAUGUCAGAGUACCUCCAUUAUUCAGUCCUUUCUACACUAUACCUGACAACAGCAUAGCUACUUAUGCCUGUGAGAUUAAAGUUUCCAAUUACCUAGGGGAUUUAGCAAUGAAAUUCUAGAGAAUAUAUGUAUAAUUUGUCAUCAUCCUUAUGUAGUGGGCCUUGCAGAUUUUUGACCUUUCUAUGUAUUAAAAACCAGAAACAAACCAACCAACAAAUCCUCACUUUAUUGAGGUAUGACUUAUACAGGAUAAAAGCCAGCAAUUUAAAGUGUACAAUUUAUUGAGUACUAAGAAAUACACACAGUCACGUAAUUACUACCACAACCGUGGCACAGAAUAUUUUAGCACUCCAUGUACUUCCCCGUGUCUCCAUGCAAACAUUCCUUAUCUUCUUCCUCUAACCCCUGGCUAUGGAUGAUUUGCUUUCUAUCCCUAUGGUUUUGCUUUUUAUGGAGUUUUGUAGAAAUGGAGUUAUAUAGUAUGUAAUCUAUGUCGGGCUUAUUUCAGUCCCAGCAUAAUACUGCUGAGAUUCCUCCAUGAUGCUGCUUGUAUAUCAGUAGGUUUUCCUUCAUUGCCGAGCAGCACACCAUUACUUCGACAUAGC
Molecule: long non-coding RNA, 2209 nt
Filed under: Canis lupus familiaris (dog)
Lineage: Eukaryota; Metazoa; Chordata; Mammalia; Carnivora; Canidae
Description: lncRNA (ENSCAFG00845019615.1)
Source: RNAcentral